GGAUUCUAGAUUGUUUGACCCUUUCCAAUAAUUAAUGUCAUUUCAUUUUACAAAUUGUUGGUAAUUUUAUGUCAUCAAUGAAUACAUUAUUGCAUUUCCCCUUUAUAUUUAGAUUAGAUUUUGUGCUUAGUCCAGAAAGCCAUAGUAGGUUACGUAGACUGGUACUUUACAGCUACAUAUAAAGAUUUUGUGCUUAGUCCAGAAAGCCAUAGUAGGUUAUGUAGACUGGUAGUUUACAGUUACAUAUAAGAUUUUGUGCUUAGUCCAGAAAGCCAUAGUAGGUUAUGUAGACUGAUACUUUACAGCUACAUAUUAGAUUUUGUGCAUAGCUCUAAUAGCCAUAGUAAGUUAUGGGACUGGUACAUGUACAUUUAGAGGUAAGCAACAUUGACAAAUUCAUGUAUGUUCCUCUGUCAUGUCAUGUAUGCCCUUUUUAUUUCAUUUUAUUUAUUUUUUCCACCAAUAUCAUUAUCUAAAUGGUAACGUUAUUUGUAACUGUUAUUACUCAUUACAAUGCUUGAUUAAGUUUUUAUUAUUUUAUUUUCUUUUUAAUUCUUAUCUUAUUUCAACACCCUUUUAUUGACCAUUUCUCGCUAUGCUAAUCAUAUCCUGCCUGGUAUCACAAAUUUGAUAUUGCUACCUUAUUAUUUUGUCCUAAUUAACAUAAUGAAUUUGUUCACACCAUGCUUACAUUCUUUUAUUUUAGUAUUUAGCAUCAUAUUAUUGAACGUUCAAAUAUCAUUGCCUCAAACGGAUGAAUAUCUUCAUGCAUCUAUUAUUCAUCUAUCUGUAAUAUCUAGUGAUCUACUCUAGUUAUUUACAUAAGUUCCUCUUCGUGUGGCCGAAACCUAGCUUGGUAUCAUUGCAUAUAUUUUUCACCUUCUCUUGAAAGUUGAUUCUAUCAUGC
RNAcentral lists this unclassified non-coding RNA (907 nucleotides) under Lytechinus variegatus (green sea urchin). Its description in RNAcentral is "uncharacterized LOC121421409, transcript variant X2". Lineage: Eukaryota; Metazoa; Echinodermata; Echinoidea; Temnopleuroida; Toxopneustidae. The record is from RNAcentral.